This 131-nucleotide non-coding RNA is filed under the name Secundilactobacillus similis DSM 23365 = JCM 2765. RNAcentral describes it as "Lactobacillus similis DSM 23365 = JCM 2765 Enterococcus sRNA 68 (Lacto-3 RNA)". It matches the Rfam family "Enterococcus sRNA 68 (Lacto-3 RNA)". Rfam says of the family: Name 'Ref' stands for RNA in E. faecalis. Also known as Lacto-3 RNA. The record is from Rfam by way of RNAcentral. Lineage: Bacteria; Bacillati; Bacillota; Bacilli; Lactobacillales; Lactobacillaceae.
UGCGAUGAGUCGAGAAUGUCACGUCAUCAGCAAUGGUGAUCUGCGCAAGCAGCUCGGUGACCUUUUUGCACGGCAGGCCGUUUACUCCGUCGGAUAUACGGAGGCCUUGGCUCAAAGGAAAUGUGGAUUUU